This 1986-nucleotide ribosomal RNA is filed under the name human metagenome. RNAcentral describes it as "bacterial LSU rRNA". It matches the Rfam family "Bacterial large subunit ribosomal RNA", at positions 488 to 2494 of the family's 2925-position model. The record is from RNAcentral.
UAGUGAACCAGUACCGUGAGGGAAAGGUGAAAAGAACCCCGGGAGGGGAGUGAAAGAGAACCUGAAACCAUAUGCCUACAAGAAGUCAGAGCCCGUUAAAGGGUGAUGGCGUGCCUUUUGUAGAAUGAACCGGCGAGUUACUGUAUGGAGCGAGGUUAAGCAGGAUAUGCGGAGCCGAAGCGAAAGCGAGUCUUAAGAGGGCGAAAGUUGCAUGCAGUAGACCCGAAACCGGGUGAUCUAGCCAUGACCAGGUUGAAGUUGGGGUAAAACCCGAUGGAGGACCGAACCGACCCCCGUUGAAACGUUGGCGGAUGAGUUGUGGCUAGGGGUGAAAUUCCAAUCGAACCCGGAGAUAGCUGGUUCUCCCCGAAAUAGCUUUAGGGCUAGCGUCGAGGUAGAGAGUUGCGUGAAGGUAGAGCACUGAAUAUGUGAUGGCCCCAUCUCGGGGUACUGAGCAUAAUCAAACUGCGAAUGUCACGGAAACAUACUCGGCAGUCAGACAGCGGGUGAUAAGGUCCGUUGUCAAGAGGGAAACAGCCCAGACCAUCAGCUAAGGUCCCAAAAUGUAUGCUAAGUGGAAAAGGAUGUGGAGAUGUACAGACAACUAGGAGGUUGGCUCAGAAGCAGCCAUCCUUUAAAGAGUGCGUAACAGCUCACUAGUCGAAUGACUCUGCGCCGAUAAUUUACCGGGGCUAAGCAUACUACCGAAGCUAUGGAUCCCAAGGGAUGGUAGGGGAGCGUUCCAUGAACGGAGAAGCGCGAUCGAGAGGACGCGUGGAGAUCAUGGAAGAGAGAAUGCCGGUGUGAGUAGCGGAACGUGGGUGAGAAUCCCACGCACCGAAAACCCAAGGUUUCCAGAGGAAGGUUCGUCCGCUCUGGGUAAGUCGGGACCUAAGGCGAGGCCGAGAGGCGUAGUCGAUGGACAACAGGUAGAGAUUCCUGUACUCAUAUAUAUGUGAAGGAAUGACGGAGAGAGGAAGCUGCAGCCAGCGGCUGGAAGAGCUGGUGCAAGCGAGAUAUCGGGAUGGCAGGCAAAUCCACCAUCCGAAACGAGAAGGCGUGAAGCGUACGGAAAGCUAAGGCGAGUACGGAAGGCAGUGGAGGAGCUUCCAAGAAAAGUUUCUAACGAAAGUAUAUGUGACCCGUACCGAAAAUGGACACACAUGGGUGAGGAGAGAAUCCUAAGGUGAGCGAGAGAACUAUAGCUAAGGAACUCUGCAAAAUGACUCCGUAACUUAGGGAGAAGGAGUGCUCAUAGAGAUAUGAGCCGCAGUGAAACGGCCCAAGCGACUGUUUACCAAAAACACAGCUCUCUGCUAAGCCGCAAGGCGAAGUAUAGGGGGUGACGCCUGCCCGGUGCUGGAAGGUUAAGGGGAGGGGUUAACGCAAGUGAAGCCCUGAACUGAAGCCCCAGUAAACGGCGGCCGUAACUAUAACGGUCCUAAGGUAGCGAAAUUCCUUGUCAGGUAAGUUCUGACCCGCACGAAAGGCGUAACGAUUUGGGCGCUGUCUCAGCUGUAGACUCGGUGAAGUCUUAGUACCUGUGAAGAUGCAGGUUACCCGCGACUAGACGGAAAGACCCCAUGGAGCUUCACUGCAGGUUGAUAUUGGGAUUUGAUGCAGCAUGUACAGGAUAGGUAGGAGGCAAAGAGAUGGAUACGCCAGUAUUCAAGGAGCCGCUGUUGGGAUACUACCCCUGUUGUAUUGGAUUUCUAACCGGACGACGUAAAGCCGUUGACGGGACAGUGUCAGUCGGGCAGUUUGACUGGGGCGGUCGCCUCCCAAAGAGUAACGGAGGCGCCCAAAGAUACCCUCAGCUUGGAUGGAAACCAAGCGCAGAGUGCAAAGGCAAAAGGGUGUUUGACUGCGAGACCUACAAGUCGAGCAGGGACGAAAGUCGGGCUUAGUGAUCCGGCGGUGCUGAAUGGAAAGGCCGUCGCUCAACGGAUAAAAGCUACCCUGGGGAUAACAGGCUGAUCUCCCCCA